UUCAGAUAGAGUAGGGGAUAACAAACAUAUUUCAUCAGAUAAGAUAGGAGAUAACAAUCAUAUCGUGUUCAAGCAAGACUAACAAUUGGAUUCUCCUUCUUCAUGGAACCUUAGCCUAUACCUAUAAAUGGAGGCCUACAAGAAACCCCCAAGGUAAGCACAAAAUCUCCUUCAUGCUCACUCUUUCUUAUCUGUUUCACACUUCUAACUUGAGCAUUAGAGGUCCCC
RNAcentral lists this long non-coding RNA (228 nucleotides) under Elaeis guineensis (African oil palm). Its description in RNAcentral is "long non-coding RNA (EGUI_LNC024410)". The record is from RNAcentral. Lineage: Eukaryota; Viridiplantae; Streptophyta; Magnoliopsida; Arecales; Arecaceae.